CAGUCGCCGCGGUAAUACAGAGGGUGCGAGCGUUAAUCGGAUUUACUGGGCGUAAAGCGUGCGUAGGCGGCUUCUUAAGUCGGAUGUGAAAUCCCUGAGCUUAACUUAGGAAUUGCAUUCGAUACUGGGAAGCUAGAGUAUGGGAGAGGAUGGUAGAAUUCCAGGUGUAGCGGUGAAAUGCGUAGAGAUCUGGAGGAAUACCGAUGGCGAAGGCAGCCAUCUGGCCUAAUACUGACGCUGAGGUACGAAAGCAUGGGGAGCAAACAGGAUUAGAUACCCCGGUAGUCCUGUCUCUUAUACA
Molecule: ribosomal RNA, 301 nt
Filed under: uncultured bacterium
Lineage: Bacteria
Description: partial 16S ribosomal RNA
Rfam family: Bacterial small subunit ribosomal RNA
Source: RNAcentral